CGAGAAGAACCACAUUCUCUACUUUGAACUGGGACUGAAAUUACUUUGUUUUGUUGUUUAAUGUUAUUAUUGGCACAAUAAUGGAAGUUAACAGAUAAUUAAGAAGCGCUAGCUAACGUCACAUUGCUAGAGUCAUUCGAAUAUGUAGAUUAUUCAAUACAGUCAUGAAUUUGUUAGGUAAAACAAUGUGGAUUUGGCCUCAUUCGCUUAGUGCUAUUCCCACCCAACUAGACGUUUCGCCCGCCUUAUUAUCGUUCAUUUUUGCUUGCUUGAUUUCGCUUUCUCGCAGAAGUUGCGUGGCGGGUUCAUUAUCAGCGGCGAGUUCAUCAUUCGGAAGUAGUUUUUUCCAUUGUUGUCAUUGAGUUCGGGUACAACCACGUUCGGUUCCGGUAUAGCUCCGCUUAGUAGGGUAGGAUACGUGGGGUGGAGGAGGUAACAUUGGUUGACUUAGGUUUCUAGGAAUUAUUAUCCUUGGUGAUGUUUCGUGCUUAAUCAGGCGCAUCUUAACUAGCUACCGAUUCCAUCCCUAUCGGCGACAGCGGGCAAAUAUAAUUUAGUAUGGU
Non-coding RNA from Paramuricea clavata, 563 nucleotides. NCBI's taxonomy places the organism in Eukaryota, Metazoa, Cnidaria, Anthozoa, Malacalcyonacea, Plexauridae. The record is from the annotation of a GenBank genome assembly.